Molecule: ribosomal RNA, 606 nt
Filed under: uncultured bacterium
Lineage: Bacteria
Description: bacterial SSU rRNA
Rfam family: Bacterial small subunit ribosomal RNA
Source: RNAcentral
CUCCUACGGGAGGCUGCAGCAACGAAUAUUCCGCAAUGGGCGAAAGCCUGACGGAGCGACGCCGCGUGGAGGACGAAGUCUUUCGGGAUGUAAACUCUAAUGGUGUGCUAGGAAGCAAGGGGACCUAAUACGUCUCUGAGUUGACCCGCAUACGAAAGGGGCGGCUAACUCCGUGCCAGCAGCCGCGGUAAGACGGAGGCCCCGAGCGUUGUUCGGAAUUACUGGGCUUAAAGCGCGUGUAGGCGGAACGGUAAGUACUUUGUGAAAGCCCCGGCUUCAACCCGGGAAUAGCUUGGUAUACUGCCGUUCUUGAGGCAGGUAGGGGUCACUGGAACCUUAGGUGGAGCGGUGAAAUGCGUAGAUAUCUAAGGGAACGCCUGUGGCGAAAGCGGGUGACUGGGCCUGUCCUGACGCUGAGACGCGAAAGCGUAGGGAGCAAACGGGAUUAGAUACCCCGGUAGUCUACGCUGUAAACGAUGCGCACUAGGUACAGGAGUCUCUGACGGCGCCUGUGCCGAAGCAAAAGUGUUAAGUGCGCCGCCUGGGGAGUACGGCCGCAAGGCUAAAACUCAAAGGAAUUGACGGGGGCUCACACAAGCGGUGGAG